RNAcentral lists this ribosomal RNA (468 nucleotides) under uncultured bacterium. RNAcentral describes it as "partial 16S ribosomal RNA". It matches the Rfam family "Bacterial small subunit ribosomal RNA", at positions 28 to 507 of the family's 1533-position model. The record is from RNAcentral.
GACGAACGCUGGCGGCGUGCUUAACACAUGCAAGUCGAACGGUGAUGCUCGAGCUUGCUGGCGUGGAUCAGUGGCGAACGGGUGAGUAACACGUGAGCAACCUGCACCAGACUGUGGAAUAUGCGCUGGAAAUGGCGUCUCAUACUGGAUACGAAACUGGCCCGCAUGGGCAUGGUUUGGAAAGUUUUUCGGUUUGGGAUGGGCUAGCGGCCUAUCAGCUUGUUGGUGAGGUAAUGGCUCACCAAGGCGACGACGGGUAGCCGGCCUGAGAAGGCGACCAGCCACACUGGGACUGAGACACGGCCCAGACUCCUACGUGAGGCAGCAGUGGAGAAUAUUGCACAAUGGGCGAAAGCCUGAGGCAGCGACGCCGCGUGAGGGAUGACGGCCUUCGGGUUGUAAACCUCUUUCAGCAGAGAAGAAGCGAAAGUGACGGUACCUGCAGAAGAAGCACCGGCUAACUACGUG